GUGGGGAAUAUUGCGCAAUGGGCGAAAGCCUGACGGAGCAACGCCGCGUGAGUGAAGAAGGUCUUCGGAUCGUAAAGCUCUGUCAACAGGGACGAAACAAGACGGUACCUGAGAAGGAAGCCACGGCAAACUACGUGCCAGCAGCCGCGGUAAUACGUAGGUGGCAAGCGUUGUCCGGAAUAACUGGGCGGAAAGCGCAUGUAGACGGCAUGAUAAGCCAAAUGUGAAAUGUAGGGGCUCAACCCCUAACCUGCGAUUGGAACUGUAAAGCUUGAGUGCAGGAGAGGUAAAUGGAAUUCCCAGUGUAGGAGUGAAAUGCGUAGAGAUUGGGAGGAACACCAGUGGCGAAGGCGAUUUGCUGGACUGCAACUGACGUUGAGAUGCGAAAGCCAGGGGAGCAAACGGGAUUAGAUACCCGGUAGUCC
This 425-nucleotide ribosomal RNA is filed under the name uncultured bacterium. RNAcentral describes it as "partial 16S ribosomal RNA". It matches the Rfam family "Bacterial small subunit ribosomal RNA", at positions 354 to 796 of the family's 1533-position model. The record is from RNAcentral.